UAGGGAAUCUUCCGCAAUGGACGCAAGUCUGACGGAGCAACGCCGCGUGAGUGAAGAAGGAUUUCGGUUCGUAAAACUCUGUUGUUAGAGAAGAACAGCGCAUAGAGUAACUGUUAUGCGUGUGACGGUAUCUAACCAGAAAGCCACGGCUAACUACGUGCCAGCAGCCGCGGUAAUACGUAGGUGGCAAGCGUUGUCCGGAUUUAUUGGGCGUAAAGCGAGCGCAGGCGGUCAAUUAAGUCUGAUGUGAAAUCCCCCGGCUCAACCGGGGAGGGUCAUUGGAAACUGGUUGACUUGAGAGCAGAAGAGAAGAAUGGAAUUCCAUGUGUAGCGGUGAAAAGCGUAGAUAUAUGGAGGAACACCAGUGGCGAAGGCGACUCUAUGGUCUGUAACUGACGCUGAGGCUCGAAAGCGUGGGUAGCAAACAGG
This 429-nucleotide ribosomal RNA is filed under the name Bacteroidota bacterium. Its description in RNAcentral is "Bacteroidetes bacterium partial 16S ribosomal RNA". It matches the Rfam family "Bacterial small subunit ribosomal RNA", at positions 355 to 776 of the family's 1533-position model. The record is from RNAcentral. Lineage: Bacteria; Pseudomonadati; Bacteroidota.